GAUGAAGAACGUAGCGAAAUGCGAUAAGUAAUGUGAAUUGCAGAAUUCAGUGAAUCAUCGAAUCUUUGAACGCACAUUGCGCCCCUUGGUAUUCCGAGGGGCAUGCCUGUUCGAGCGUCAUUACACCACUCAAGCUAUGCUUGGUAUUGGGCGUCGUCCUUAGUUGGGCGCGCCUUAAAGACCUCGGCGAGGCCACUCCGGCUUUAGGCGUAGUAGAAUUUAUUCGAACGUCUGUCAAAGGAGAGGAACUCUGCCGACUGAAACCUUUAUUUUUCUAGGUUGACCUCGGAUCAGGUAGGGAUACCCGCUGAACUUAAGCAUAUCAAUAAGGGAGGA
This 336-nucleotide unclassified non-coding RNA is filed under the name soil metagenome. Its description in RNAcentral is "partial contains 5.8S ribosomal RNA, internal transcribed spacer 2, and large subunit ribosomal RNA". The stretch from base 1 to 120 matches the Rfam family "5.8S ribosomal RNA", at positions 35 to 154 of the family's 154-position model. The record is from RNAcentral.